This 423-nucleotide ribosomal RNA is filed under the name uncultured bacterium. RNAcentral describes it as "bacterial SSU rRNA". It matches the Rfam family "Bacterial small subunit ribosomal RNA", at positions 355 to 776 of the family's 1533-position model. The record is from RNAcentral.
UAGGGAAUAUUGGGCAAUGGACGGAAGUCUGACCCAGCCAUGCCGCGUGCAGGAAGAAGGCCUUCUGGGUUGUAAACUGCUUUUAUCAGGGAAGAAAACACUCCUGCGGGAGAAACUGACGGUACCUGAUGAAUAAGCACCGGCUAACUCCGUGCCAGCAGCCGCGGUAAUACGGAGGGUGCAAGCGUUGUCCGGAUUUAUUGGGUUUAAAGGGUGCGUAGGCGGCUUAUUAAGUCAGUGGUGAAAGCCAACAGCUCAACUGUUGAACUGCCAUUGAUACUGAUAAGCUUGAGUACAGACGAGGUAGGCGGAAUUGAAGAUGUAGCGGUGAAAUGCAUAGAUAUCUUCAAGAACACCGAUUGCGUAGGCAGCUUACUAGGCUGUAACUGACGCUGAGGCACGAAAGCGUGGGGAGCGAACAGG